This 20-nucleotide small RNA is filed under the name Arabidopsis thaliana (thale cress). Its description in RNAcentral is "ATSL142790". Lineage: Eukaryota; Viridiplantae; Streptophyta; Magnoliopsida; Brassicales; Brassicaceae. The record is from RNAcentral.
GUUUUUCGCGGUAAAUGUUC